AUGAAAGAGCUUAGAGCUGCUUUGGUUGCAUACAGUGUGAGAAACAGGGUUAAGAUUAACAAAGGAAGAAAUGAAGCAACGAGGUUGAAUGCAUCUUGCUCUGCUGGAUGCCCCUGGCUUUUGAAGGCGUCUAAGGACAACAGAACAGGAAGCAUUGUAAUUAAGAGAUACAAUUGCAAUCACACAUGUCAGAAAUCUUGGGAUGCAAAGUGUUUGUCAGUUAAAUUUCUUACCGGUAAGUUCAUUGAGGAGUUCAGAGACAACCAAAAGAUGGACUUGGUGACCUUUGGUAACAAAGUUCAGAGAGAAUUCAAGGUCAGACCUCAUAAAGUCAAAUUAGGAAGGGCAAGGAGAGCUGCACUUGAUUUGAUACAUGGAGAUGAAGCAGCUCAGUAUCAACAGCUAUGGAAUUAUGGUAAAGAGCUGAGGAGGAGCAAUCCUGGCAGUACCUUCCUUGUUAGCACAACUCUUGUUAAGGAGAAUGAAAAUGAGGACCCAAAGGAUCAUUUGUCAUCGUUGUAUUGGUCAUAUGAUGCUUGCAAGAGAGGUUUCUUAAAUGGAUGUAGGCCCAUCAUUUUUAUCGAUGGAUGCCACUUGGAAAGUAGGUACAAAGGCCAGUUACUUACUGCUGUUGGCAUAGACCCAAACGACUGCAUUUAUCCCAUUGCAAUGGGAAUGGUUGAAGUAGAAUCAAAAUUCUCCUGGGAGUGGUUUCUCACUACAUUAAAGCAUGACUUGAACAUAGUGAACACCUCCCCAUUCACUAUAAUGAGUGACAAACAAAAGGGCUUAAUAAAUGCAGUUGGAAAGGUGUUUCCAGACUCAGAGCACAGAUUUUGUGUUAGACAUUUAUAUCAAAACUUUCAUAUGCAUUUCAAAGGAGAGACAUUGAAAAACCAUUUGUGGGCAAUUGCAAGAUCAACAAAUAUCACAAAGUGGAUGUUGAACAGAGAAGCAAUGAGAGAGGAUUGCCCUAGUCCUGUUGCUUGGUUGGAGAAUAAACCUGAAAACCAAUGGGUGAAAGCAUUUUUCAGUGAUUUCCCCAAAUGUGACAUCCUAUUGAACAAUAUGUCAGAAGUGUACAAUAGCUACAUAUUGGAAGCAAGGGAGUUCCCUGUGAUUUCAAUGAUGGAAUGUAUAAAGGGUAAGAUUACUGCUAGACAUGAGAGCAAGCAGAGAGAGGCAAGAAACAAAUGGACUGGUAAGAUAUGCCCAAAGAUCAAGAAGAAAUUAGAGAAGGAGAUAGAACUGUCUGCAAGUUGUUUUCCUAGUCACUCUGGUUUGGGAGUAUAUUCUGUGAUAUCAAGAAACUUUACAUACCUUGUGGAUAUUCCAGCAAGGACAUGUGAUUGCAAAAGAUGGCAACUUAGUGGCAUUCCUUGCAGCCACUCUAUUGCGUGCUUUAGGGAAGAGAGGAUAGAUACAGAAGAAAUGGUUCACAAGUGCUACACAAUAGAGACAUACCUGCUAGCAUAUGGGCACAAUAUAAUGCCUAUGAGAGAUAGGGCUCACUGGGAGCAAGUUAAUGGAAUUGUCGUUCAUCCACCGAUUUACAAGAAAAAGAUGGGAAGGCCACCAAAGAACAGGAAAAGAACACCUGAAGAAAAGCUUCAGAAGGAUGGCAGCAUUGCACUGAACAAGAAAGGUGUGAGCAUGCAUUGUUCAAUUUGUGGAAAAGCAGAUCACAACAAGAAGGGCCAUCAGAAAUUCAUGGAGAGGGAGAGUGAGAGGGAAGCAAAUGAGAUGGAAGAAGAAAUAGAAGAUCCUUCCAUUUUAAAUGACAUCAGGACACACAUGGAGGACACAAGGCUAGAUCCUAUGCAUGUGCCUUUCAGCAUGGUACAUAUAAUGAGGCAAGAGGAGAGAAUCCAUGUUUCAAAUGUCAAACCACCUGGUCCUUUGCCAGAUAUAUCUAGAUUUGUUGCUGAUGCCAGGGACUCCAUUCCUGAGAGAAGAACAAUUACUACUGCUACAACCAGAGGAAGGAAUAGGGGAAAAGGCAAAGGGAGGCCACUAGAUGAUGAAGAAACCAUUGGUGCUACAAGCAGAGGAAAAAACAAGAGACAGAAAGCAGGUACUAGCACAUACCCAGGUGAUGGAAGCAAUCGUGCAAGAGGGCCCAACAAUGCAACAAGAGGAGGUUCAAUAGCUGCAAGAGGUGGCCGGAGUGGUGGUGCAAGAAGGGGAGCAAAUGCUACAAUAGGUGGAGGAAAUGCAACAAUAGGAGGAGCAAAUGCUGUUGGAAGAGGGGGAACAAAUGCUACAAGAGGUGGACGAAGUGGUGCUGGAAGAGGGGAAGCUAAUGCUGCACGAGGUGGAGGAAAUGCUGCUGGAAGAGGAGGUGGUGCUGAUGGAAGUGGUGGAACAGUUGGUGGAAGGGGCUGGUGCUAUCUUUUGCUUGGAGAAGAUGGAGAAAGGAGAGAUGCAUCUGUUCCAGACCUAAAUGCUGCUGCAAUCCCUGACCUCAAUGCUCGAGAAGAGAUCAUUGUGACCCAAAAUGCGCCUACGGGUCCUUUCUAA
Molecule: ribosomal RNA, 2520 nt
Filed under: Triticum aestivum (bread wheat)
Lineage: Eukaryota; Viridiplantae; Streptophyta; Magnoliopsida; Poales; Poaceae
Description: partial small subunit ribosomal RNA
Source: RNAcentral